AGUAACAUUACCACCAGCUUCUACAUCAGAGCUGACACGGUGAUAAUAGCUAGCACGGAAUACACUGAGAUUGUUGGAAGCUUGAAGGGCAACAGAAAGAGGACUAGCCAAGUAACCGAUAGUAGCAGCAUAGUUAGAAACAUUGCCCUUUUGAACAUCAUAACCAAAUUCAGCACCAGCCAAGAAUCCCUCGUGGCCGACAGUAAAGUCACCAAGGAACUUGCGCUCCAACGCGUUUACAGAAGCAUGUGUAUGUAUUAAAGGAUGUUGAUGCUCCAAAUUGAGAAUAGCAGUCUUGGCGGCAGUUGCAGGGCUAAAAGUCGUGUUGACGUUAAGGUGCAAUCCUGGAGCGAACUGCUCACUUAAACCAACCUUGGAUUCAAGGACGUUGGCAGUAGUCCAUCCUUGUGAGAUGGUCAAGCCAUUGGCCUUGUCGUUGAAGCUGGUUUCAAGUUUACCAGAGAUAACACCCUUGGCGUCCUGAUUACCAGAGACAUUGAAGACGACUCCGUUGGGAGCGGUAGUGCGAACGCUCAAUAAGGUAGCUCCGACAGGGAAAUCGCGUUGCAAUAAGUCGUUGCAUAAUUUGUUAAUAGCGGCAUAAGCAGGUGGAGCCAUUGUUGCUAAUCAAUCGAGUAUAGUAUAAUGAGAUCACGAGGAAAAAGAACAAGCAGAUAAAUGUAAAAUAAUU
Molecule: non-coding RNA, 691 nt
Organism: Schizosaccharomyces pombe (fission yeast)
Lineage: Eukaryota; Fungi; Ascomycota; Schizosaccharomycetes; Schizosaccharomycetales; Schizosaccharomycetaceae
Source: the annotation of a GenBank genome assembly